CCAGGGCCGGCCCUGCUCAGCCAU
This 24-nucleotide small nuclear RNA is filed under the name Arabidopsis thaliana (thale cress). RNAcentral's name for it is "snRNA_02473". The record is from RNAcentral. Lineage: Eukaryota; Viridiplantae; Streptophyta; Magnoliopsida; Brassicales; Brassicaceae.